AGGAUGGUUCCAAAGCCAAGGGCAACACGGCGGGCGGCCAGCAGGCCAGCUCACAGUGGCGACAGACAUCCCUGGAUGAACAUCUGGAGCUUGGGGACAUCAAGGCUGACCUGGCCAGCUUCCGUUCCACCUGGACCAAAUACAUCCAGGAGAACAAGCAGAAGUGGAAGGAGAGGGCGGCCAGCGGCAUCACCAACCAAGUGUCCAUCGAGGAGCUGUCACCCUACGAGGAGGAGCCCCCCGUGCCCCCCACCCAGCAGCACAAGCACAAUGGCGAGGUGGAAUAGCACACGGC
Molecule: long non-coding RNA, 295 nt
Organism: Lagopus muta (rock ptarmigan)
Lineage: Eukaryota; Metazoa; Chordata; Aves; Galliformes; Phasianidae
Exons: 3
Source: RefSeq, a predicted model, not a curated record